Molecule: ribosomal RNA, 461 nt
Filed under: uncultured bacterium
Lineage: Bacteria
Description: bacterial SSU rRNA
Rfam family: Bacterial small subunit ribosomal RNA
Source: RNAcentral
GCAUAACGCGAAGAACCUUACCAGCCCUUGACAUGCCGGUCGCGGACAUUGGAGACGAUGUCCUUCAGUUAGGCUGGACCGGACACAGGUGCUGCAUGGCUGUCGUCAGCUCGUGUCGUGAGAUGUUGGGUUAAGUCCCGCAACGAGCGCAACCCUCGCCCUUAGUUGCCAGCAUUUGGUUGGGCACUCUAAGGGGACUGCCGGUGAUAAGCCGAGAGGAAGGUGGGGAUGACGUCAAGUCCUCAUGGCCCUUACGGGCUGGGCUACACACGUGCUACAAUGGUGGUGACAGUGGGCAGCGAGACAGCGAUGUCGAGCUAAUCUCCAAAACAUCUCUCAGUUCGGAUUGUAGUCUGCAACUCGACUACAUGAAGCUGGAAUCACUAGUAAUCGUAGAUCAGCAUGCUGCGGUGAAUACGUUCCCGGGUCUUGUACACACCGGAGGUCGGUGGGGAGGGCAA